This 500-nucleotide ribosomal RNA is filed under the name uncultured bacterium. Its description in RNAcentral is "partial 16S ribosomal RNA". It matches the Rfam family "Bacterial small subunit ribosomal RNA", at positions 29 to 523 of the family's 1533-position model. The record is from RNAcentral.
AUUGAACGCUGGCGGAAUGCUUUACACAUGCAAGUCGAACGGCAGCACGGGGGCAACCCUGGUGGCGAGUGGCGAACGGGUGAGUAAUAUAUCGGAACGUGCCUAGUCGUGGGGGAUAACGUAGCGAAAGGUACGCUAAUACCGCCUACGAUCUCAGGAUGAAAGCGGGGGACCGUAAGGCCUCGCGCGAUUGGAGGGGCCGAUGGCAGAUUAGGUAGUUGGUGAGGUAAAGGCUCACCAAGCCUGCGAUCUGUAGCUGGUCUGAGAGGACGACCAGCCACACUGGGACUGAGACACGGCCCAGACGCCUACGGGAGGCAGCAGUGGGGAAUUUUGGACAAUGGGCGCAAGCCUGAUCCAGCCAUUCCGCGUGCAGGACGAAGGCCUUCGGGUUGUAAACUGCUUUUGUACGGAACGAAAAGCCUUGGGCUAAUACCCCGAGGUCAUGACGGUACCGUAAGAAUAAGCACCGGCUAACUACGUGCCAGCCGCCGCCGUAA